Molecule: ribosomal RNA, 315 nt
Filed under: Triticum aestivum (bread wheat)
Lineage: Eukaryota; Viridiplantae; Streptophyta; Magnoliopsida; Poales; Poaceae
Description: partial small subunit ribosomal RNA
Source: RNAcentral
AUGGAGGGAGUAGAACACUUGACACUGCAUAAAGCUGUAAACUCACCUUCCAUGCACGUCUGCAUUGCCACCGCUUGCACCUCCGGGCCCAUCUACAUUAUCACCACCUGCACCUGCAUCUUGUUCAGUUUGUUGUUUUUCAGUCUCCCUCUGCUCACGGUCUUCCAUGUCAGUCAAUUCCUUAUGGAAUAUUGCAAAAUUCAGAACUUGCAGUGCAGCCUCAACAUCAGUUUUAAGAACCUGCAACAAGAUACAUGUGAUGUCAUUAUAGUUUUUCAAGGAAAAAUAUCCUGUGCCUGCUAUCCUUCAAAAUAA